GUGGAAAAAUUCCUUCCCCUCCCCCUCAAAGGCCUCAUUGACUUAAGACCUGAAUUCUAAUUUAAGUCAAUGGAAAGGCUGAUUGAUUUCAGUUUUGUUGGAUCAGCUCUCAGAUGAUACCAGAGUGCGUAGCAAAAUAGUGCUUAUAAUGUCAAUAAUAAUUUCAGAAUAAAAUUUAGGAAUGUGUGAGUACUUUGAUUGCUCUCCUAUUUCAGUUCAUUUAUAAUUUCAUUCUUCCUCAUUAAAUGGCAACUAUCGCCAGUGAUCAAAUUAUCCCAUUAUCCCAUUGCCUAAAAUAAACAAAUUUAAGCACAAUAAAGGAUGAGAUUUUUUAAAACAAAUAGUUUUGUUACUGAGGUGUUUACCAAAUUACCCAACAGGUGAAUUAAGAAGACACCAUAAAUAGGUGGAAGGCAUAUCUAUGUAAGUGCUAGUCAUUAUUAUUGCUUGAUGUUCAUGGCAUUUUAGAGUAGUGAUAAAAAAAGAUUUUUGACAUGAAGAUCUUACAGUUUAAAAAGCCUGAUCCUGGAAAUGCUUACUUCCACAGGACUACUCAUGGUAUUAAGCACCAUGCCUGAUAAGUGUUUUCAGAAUCCAAGCCCCUAAAUUAAGACAGAAGUGGAGAUGACAACAUGAUUAUGCAUUCACUGGAGAAGCUAUUCCAUGUGGUUUGAAUCCAAUCCAAUCCCUGUGAAAGUCAACGGAAAGACUCCUAUCGAUGUUAUUCUUAGCUAUCCAGACAGUUUUGACUAGCUGCUUCCAGGGAAGAGAGAGAAAUCCAAAUGACCCAAGUGAAGGUUUCUCUGUGGAGGUUCACAUCCUUCUUGCAAAUCACUUUAAAAUGGCUUUCUACUUUCUGGCUUUCUAAAGUCAUCUUCAGAAAGCUGCAUUAAAGAAGACCUCAGGACCUGGUUUGCUUUCC
This 922-nucleotide long non-coding RNA is filed under the name Gopherus agassizii (Agassiz's desert tortoise). RNAcentral's name for it is "lncRNA (ENSGAGG00000015576.1)". Lineage: Eukaryota; Metazoa; Chordata; Testudines; Testudinidae. The record is from RNAcentral.